Molecule: long non-coding RNA, 2275 nt
Organism: Felis catus (domestic cat)
Lineage: Eukaryota; Metazoa; Chordata; Mammalia; Carnivora; Felidae
Exons: 4
Source: RefSeq, a predicted model, not a curated record
UUGUUUGGAAUUCUCUGUCUCCUUCUCUCUCUGCCCCUGCCCCACUCUCACUGCUUCUGUCUCUCUCAAAUGAAUAAGUAAACUUAAAAAAAAAAAAAAAACUCCUCUUGAAGUACAUGUGCAGAGAACCAUCUGGAGUCAGGCCACACUGAGAAUCGUAUUUGACACAGAAGAGGAUCUGAACCUACAAGGCCAGCUGAUUAGAUUUCUUUCUGUAAGAAUUUAGGGACUUUAUGUAGAGGGUCCCUGCAAAACCAAAAUGGGUGUGUGACCUGUGACUUCAACAGAGUGUGGGGAUGGUGAGCUGUUGACUUCAACCAAAGUAAUCCCACUGCUCUCCUGCCUCACCAUACAGCCACACAUCAGCAACACCUGGAAAAUCUUCUAAGAGCAGAAGGCUGAGUUCCAUCCCAAGAUCUGCUGGUUUGGGAGACCUAAGUCGCUUGAGAGAAAGAGGGGACACUCCUUUACUCAACCUUUACUCUCAGAUGGCCAAGAAAAUUAUUCAGAACUCUAUGGUAUAUAUGCAUACCUCAUAUACAUGUUGUGAUUAGCCCAGGAAAUCCCUUUUAUGUUUCGACUUGCAUUUCGGGGACAAUGUGCCACUGGUCAGGCUUCCUGCAGAUAUAGACCCUUUCCUCUGCUGCCUUAUACUGUAUUUAAUGAAACUGGCAAUAUGACAACAGUUUAUUAAUACCGUACUGUGUCAACUUCCGUUGGUGAUAUUGAAAGCUAUCCUACACAAUAACCCUCUUCUCUCAUGUCUCCCUCACACCAGCCACAAAAGUUUUCAAAGGUUUUCAUUUGACACCUCAAAUACCUGAAGAUGGUAGUUACCGUGGAAGCUUAUGAGAGACCCAAGAUAUUUGCCCCCUUUGAUGGUGAUGCCUGGUUAUAAGCAAACCCUCUGUCACUCUUGUGAAAAGCUGAUUUGCUUGCACGUUAAAAAGAAUAAAAUCUCAUAAGCAGAGGGAUGGAACCGAUAUGGAUAAUAAUCAGUAUGUUUAUUAUCGCUAAAAAUAGAGAAAUAAAGAAGAGUGGCAACUGUCUCAAAGAUUUUUAUAUUGGACUCCUGAAACUUCUGGACCCUUGGCUUUUUUAAGGAAAGCAAAAUAGGGCUAACCUAGCAGAAAAUAUUCAUGUCUGCCUUUUUGCAAGCACUGAAAACUCUCUGGUCUCAAAGCAUGGAAAUGUUAUAAAAAGUGGGUGUCAUUAUUAUAAUAGCUCUAUAUUUUUCUGGGCCAGAAGCCUUUUUCUUCUUUUUCUUUUGUUGUUGUUAUUUUUGGAUAACUGUAGAAAUAAAUACAAGGAUGUGCUUUUUAUGGACAGAAUUAUGUCUCCCCAAAAUUCCUAUGUCAAAGCCCUGGCCCCAAUUCCUUAGAAUGUGACUAUAUAUGGAGACAGCAUCUUUAAAGAGAUCUUUAAGUUAAAAUGAGGCUGUUACAGUACACCCUAACCCAGUCUGGCUGGUGUUUGUAUGAGGAUGAGAUAACCAGGGAUAGCUGUGCACAGAGUAAAGGCCACAUGAGGACACAGGGAGGAGACUGCCACCUGCUGGCCAAGGAGAGGGGUCUCACAAGAAACCAGACCUGCCGACACAUUGAUCUUGGUCUUCCAGUCUAGAGAACUGUAAGAACAUAAGUUUCUGUAGUUUAAGCCUCCCAGCCUGUGGUAUCUUGUUAUGAUAGGUGUGGCAAAGUAACGCAUAUACAGUGCCACAAAGAUUAGUAUUUCUAACUGCUCCAAAUAACAGCAAAAAUUCAGAAGUACGCUAUCUUAGAUCUUCUUAGACAUUUUCCUGUGAUAAUUCUUCCUGGAUCUGGGAAGCAAUUGGCCUAACAAACCAAUGUUACUAGAGUGUGGUACCACAAGGCCUUGUCCAUUUUGUCUCAAGAAAUUAUUUCUAUAAGUUCUUCCUAUGGAAGGAAAUGGAAGCAACUGAAUCUUUCUCUGGCAUGAUUAUGUCUGCUACUUUAUAAUAAUUCUAUUUGAAAACAGCAAAGUCAAGCCUUUCUGGCCCAAAUGAUAAAAUAAGUUGAUAGUGGAUAUCAUCACUACAAACAUCUAAAAUAUAGGGGGUGCCUGGGUGGCUCAGUCGGUUGAGCAUCUGACUCUUGAUCUCAGCUCAGGUCAUGAUCUCACAGUUUAUAAGAUUGAGUCUGGCAUUGGGUUCUGGUCUGAGAGUACAGAGCCUGCUUGGGAUUCUCUCUCUCCCUCUCUCCUUCCCCUCCCCUGCUCACACUCACUCACUCACUCUCUGUCUUUCCCUUUCUCU